GACGAACGCUGGCGGCGUGCUUAACACAUGCAAGUCGAACGGUAACACCCUUCGGGGGUGCUCUGUUGGGAAGGGGUGCGUGGGAGGUGGACGAGCUGACCCCGCCUUUGGGUUUCGUGCAAGAUAACGGGGCUAAUCCUGGAAGCUCACCGCAUCCCGCCUGGGUGGGGGUGCAUAGGAUUUGCGGCUCGGGAGGGGCUGGAUGCGUAGCUGCUUGAUUGGGGGGUAGUGGCAUACCAAGGCGAGGACGGGUAGCCGGCCUGGGAGGGUGACGGGGCACACUGGGACUGAGAUACGGCCCAGACUCCUACGGGAGGCAGCAGUGGGGAAUAUUGCGCAAUGGGCGGAAGCCUGACGCAGCGACGCCGCGUGGGGGAUGACGGCCUUCGGGUUGUAAACCGCUUUCGGCUGUGACGAAGCGCAAGUGACGGUACCUGCAGAAGAAGCACCGGCCAACUACGUG
RNAcentral lists this ribosomal RNA (463 nucleotides) under uncultured bacterium. Its description in RNAcentral is "partial 16S ribosomal RNA". It matches the Rfam family "Bacterial small subunit ribosomal RNA", at positions 28 to 507 of the family's 1533-position model. The record is from RNAcentral.